UACGUAGGGUGCAAGCGUUAAUCGGAAUUACUGGGCGUAAAGCGUGCGCAGGCGGUGAUGUAAGACAGAUGUGAAAUCCCCGGGCUCAACCUGGGAACUGCAUUUGUGACUGCAUCGCUGGAGUGCGGCAGAGGGGGAUGGAAUUCCGCGUGUAGCAGUGAAAUGCGUAGAUAUCAGGAGGAACACCGAUGGCGAAGGCAGGUCUCUGGGCUGAAACUGACGCUCAUGCACGAAAGCGUGGGGAGCAAACAGG
This 253-nucleotide ribosomal RNA is filed under the name uncultured bacterium. Its description in RNAcentral is "partial 16S ribosomal RNA". It matches the Rfam family "Bacterial small subunit ribosomal RNA", at positions 524 to 776 of the family's 1533-position model. The record is from RNAcentral.